Molecule: ribosomal RNA, 330 nt
Filed under: uncultured soil bacterium
Lineage: Bacteria
Description: bacterial SSU rRNA
Rfam family: Bacterial small subunit ribosomal RNA
Source: RNAcentral
AGGAUGAACGCUAGCGGCAGGCUUAACACAUGCAAGUCGAGGGGCAGCACGUCUUCGGAUGGUGGCGACCGGCGCACGGGUGCGUAACGCGUAUACAACCUACCUUAUAGAGGGGAAUAGCCCAGAGAAAUUUGGAUUAAUGCCCCAUAGUAUUAUUGAAUAGCAUUAUUUAAUGAUUAAACAUUUAUGGCUAUAAGAUGGGUAUGCGUUCUAUUAGCUAGAUGGUAAGGUAACGGCUUACCAUGGCAACGAUAGAUAGGGGUCCUGAGAGGGAGAUCCCCCACACUGGUACUGAGACACGGACCAGACUCCUACGGGAGGCAGCAGUGA